GACGAACGCUGGCGGCGUGCUUAACACAUGCAAGUCGAACGGAAAGGCCCUGCUUUUGUGGGGUGCUCGAGUGGCGAACGGGUGAGUAACACGUGAGUAACCUGCCCUUGACUUUGGGAUAACUUCAGGAAACUGGGGCUAAUACCGGAUAGGAGCUCCUGCUGCAUGGUGGGGGUUGGAAAGUUUCGGCGGUUGGGGAUGGACUCGCGGCUUAUCAGCUUGUUGGUGGGGUAGUGGCUUACCAAGGCUUUGACGGGUAGUCGGCCUGAGAGGGUGACCGGCGACAUUGGGACUGAGAUACGGCCCAGACUCCUACGGGAGGCAAAAGUGGGGAAUAUUACACUGUGGGCGGAAGCCUGAUGCAGCAACGCCGCGUGCGGGAUAACGGCCUUCGGGUUGUAAACCGCUUUCGCCUGUGACGAAGCGUGAGUGACGGUAAUGGGUAAAGAAGCACCGGCUAACUACGUG
RNAcentral lists this ribosomal RNA (468 nucleotides) under uncultured bacterium. RNAcentral's name for it is "partial 16S ribosomal RNA". It matches the Rfam family "Bacterial small subunit ribosomal RNA", at positions 28 to 507 of the family's 1533-position model. The record is from RNAcentral.